RNAcentral lists this ribosomal RNA (453 nucleotides) under uncultured marine bacterium. Its description in RNAcentral is "bacterial SSU rRNA". It matches the Rfam family "Bacterial small subunit ribosomal RNA", at positions 360 to 804 of the family's 1533-position model. The record is from RNAcentral.
AAUUUUUGUCAAUGGGGGAAACCCUGAACAAGCAACGCCGCGUGAAGGACGAAGACCUUCGGGUUGUAAACUUCUGUCGGAGGGGACGAAGGCAGUCAUGGUUAAUACCCAUGAUUGUUGACGGUACCCUACGAGGAAGCCCCGGCUAACUCCGUGCCAGCAGCCGCGGUAAUACGGGGGGGGCAAGCGUUGUUCGGAAUUACUGGGCGUAAAGGGCGCGCAGGCGGGCGGGACAGUCUCUCGUGAAAGCCCACGGCUCAACCGUGGAAUUGCGGGAGAUACUACUCGUCUUGAGUCCGGGAGAGGAGUGUGGAAUUCCCAGUGUAGCGGUGAAAUGCGUAGAUAUUGGGAGGAACACCGGUGGCGAAGGCGGCACUCUGGACCGGUACUGACGCUGAGGCGCGAAAGCCAGGGGAGCAAACGGGAUUAGAUACCCCGGUAGUCCUGGCUGUA